ACUCAAAGGAAUAGACGGGGGCCCGCACAAGCGGUGGAGCAUGUGGUUUAAUUCGACGCAACGCGAAGAACCUUACCUACCCUUGACAUCCUCGGAACCUGGUAGAGAUAUCGGGGUGCCUUCGGGAACCGAGAGACAGGUGCUGCAUGGCUGUCGUCAGCUCGUGUCGUGAGAUGUUGGGUUAAGUCCCGUAACGAGCGCAACCCUUAUCCUUAGUUGCCAACAGGUAAAGCUGGGAACUCUAUGGAGACUGCCGGUGAUAAGCCGGAGGAAGGUGGGGACGACGUCAAGUCAUCAUGGCCCUUACGGGUAGGGCUACACACGUGCUACAAUGGGCGGUACAAAGGGAAGCGAAACUGUGAAGUGGAGCGAAUCUCAAUAAAGCCGCUCGUAGUCCGGAUUGGAGUCUGCAACUCGACUCCAUGAAGUUGGAAUCGCUAGUAAUCGCGGAUCAGAACGCCGCGGUGAAUACGUUCUCGGGCCUUGCACACACCGCCCGU
Molecule: ribosomal RNA, 500 nt
Filed under: uncultured bacterium
Lineage: Bacteria
Description: partial 16S ribosomal RNA
Rfam family: Bacterial small subunit ribosomal RNA
Source: RNAcentral